RNAcentral lists this ribosomal RNA (423 nucleotides) under Pholcus cf. jaegeri DNA100437916. Its description in RNAcentral is "partial 16S ribosomal RNA". It matches the Rfam family "Bacterial large subunit ribosomal RNA", at positions 1831 to 2597 of the family's 2925-position model. Lineage: Eukaryota; Metazoa; Arthropoda; Arachnida; Araneae; Pholcidae. The record is from RNAcentral.
UUCUUUAAGCUGUUAAUUUAAAGUAAGACCUGCUCAAUGUAAAUAAAUAGCCGCAGUACACCUGUGCUAAGGUAGCAUAAUAACUUGCUUCUUAAUUAGAAGAUGGAAUGAAAGGUCACACACAUAAUUUUAUAUUUCUCAUAAACACUUAAAAUUAAGAGAGAAGUAAAAACUCUUCUACAUUCAGUGGGACGACAAGACCCUGAUAAACUUAUCAUUUAGUUGGGGAAACAAAUUAAUAAAUAUUUAACAAAAUCAUCACACAACUAAAAAUUUUAAUUAAGAACAGUUACUACAGGGAUAACAGCGCUAUCUCCCCACAGAGAUCCUAUCAAAGGGGAGGAUUACGACCUCGAUGUUGAAUUAAUUUUCCUAAAAGACGCAAAAGUCUCAUAAGGUGGUCUGUUCGACUAUUAAAAAAUU